This 699-nucleotide ribosomal RNA is filed under the name uncultured bacterium. RNAcentral's name for it is "bacterial SSU rRNA". It matches the Rfam family "Bacterial small subunit ribosomal RNA", at positions 1 to 693 of the family's 1533-position model. The record is from RNAcentral.
AAGAGUUUGAUCCUGGCUCAGAAUGAACGCUGGCGGCGUGCUUAACACAUGCAAGUCGAGCGAGAAAGUUCCUUCGGGAAUGAGUACAGCGGCGAACGGGUGCAUAACACGUAAGAAUCUACCCUUGAGUGAAGAAUACCUUCGGGAAACCGGAGUUAAUACUGCAUAAUCCGUCUAUGAGAGAUUAUAGUUGGGAAAAACGGCCUCUUGCCGUUGCUUAAGGAUGAGCUUGCGGACUAUUAGUUAGUUGGUAGGGUAAAAGCCUACCAAGACGAUGAUGGUUAGCCGGCCUGAGAGGGUGUACGGCCACAUUGGGACUGAGAUACGGCCCAGACUCCUACGGGAGGCAGCAGUGGGGAAUAUUGCACAAUGGACGAAAGUCUGAUGCAGCGACGCCGCGUGGGGGAUGAAGGUCUUCGGAUUGUAAACUCCUGUUAAGAGGGAAGAAAGACCCUGGGGUAAUAUACCAGGGGGAUGACGGUACCUCUAGAGAAAGCACCGGCUAACUUCGUGCCAGCAGCCGCGGUAAUACGAAGGGUGCAAGCGUUAUUCGGAAUAACUGGGCGUAAAGAGCGUGUAGGUGGUUUUGUAAGUCAGUUGUUAAAUACCACAGCUUAACUGUGGACCUGCGAUUGAAACUAUAAGACUAGAGGAUAAGAGAGAGAAGUGGAAUUCUCGGAGUAGCGGUAAAAUGCGUAG